UAACUUUCCGUCUACGUUAAC
This 21-nucleotide non-coding RNA is filed under the name Caenorhabditis elegans. Lineage: Eukaryota; Metazoa; Nematoda; Chromadorea; Rhabditida; Rhabditidae. The record is from RNAcentral.